CUGCACGGCCUCCUCCCCUCAACCCUAAUCCCUUCACUCCCACGUGCGCCCUCCUCCUCUGCUGGCCGCCGCCGCCUGCUCGACGUUGCCGGCCCGCCGCCCUCCUCUCCCUCAUCCUGUCCUCCCUCACCGGAUCCAUGCCCAGACGCCCACAGAUCCGCGCCGAGCCGCCCAAGCUGUGGUCGCGCACGUCAGCUAGCUAACCCUAGCGCCGCCGCAUCUCCACACCGGUGAGAGAGGCAUGGAAGGGAGCGCCGCUGCUACCUAACUUCGGCUGCGGCACCCGCUGAGGUAGGCGUGGCGGAGGCGGAGGCGGAGGGAGAGAGGACAGGGGCGCGGCGGGCGGAGGAUGCGGCACCCGUCACCUCCCCCUCGGCCGCCCUCAUCUCCUCCGUCAGGUGGCUGCCGUCUCGCCCUCGCCACCUCCCUUGACUCCUCCGAGCUGGAUGGAUCAAGGAGGACGGAUCCAUCGAGGCGCAAGUGAACUCAUCCCCACCUCUACUCUACUGCCCGCUCACCAGGUGCUAUGUCAGGUCCGUUCCCUCACUUGUGGGGAGGGGGACGAGAGGUGUGGCAUAGGUGAGACUGAGAUCCACAAUGCAUUCGUAUGGAUUUAGUGGCUUUGAAUCAUCCAAGGUAUAAUUCGACCCUAUCCCAUCCUUUCCUGGUGGUACUACAAGCGUUUUGUGUUUUUUAUUUCUUCAAUUUUUGUUCAUAUUGCUGAGUUGCUUAGACUUCACCAUAAAUCUGUAGUGGCAUAUAAUUUGUAUUGGUGCACUGCUAACUUGUAACUUGUUGAUGUGAUUAGUCAAUUUUCUACUUUAUAACACUGCUUCUGUUAGUACCAAUAAUUUGUGUUGCCAUUUAUACCAUGCUGAUACAAUGCUCCUAGAUUUUUUUUUCUGAACCACAUGACUACUAGAUUACUCUGCACUUAUAAAUUUCCUUGAACUUAAUUGAUAAUUUCCCUGAAAUGAUAAUUUCUUUCAUUUGUUUGCAUGCACAAGAAUUGUGUCACCUAGCCACCUCACUAUAUGUAAGGGCAGGCAAGGCAAGAAGAGAUUACCAGCUAGCAGCUAUAUGCUUCUUCAAGGUUCCUUCAAGCAAUUAACAGGGAUGCAGUGGGAAGGACGAGGUCACGAACAAACUGCAAGAACGAAUACACAAGUGUGGAUUGUGGCAGCAGCACGCUUCCUGCCAGUGGAAAUGGAGUAGAAUCUUUAGAAAAUGUCUGAAUGUGAGGAUAUCCACCAUCUUGUACGUGAGAAUUGAACUGCAAUGAUCAAGGAAAGGUGGUUGGAGCCGGCGGGGGUGGAGGCGGCAGCCGCCGGGGUGCUGCGCCGGCUCCUCACCUCCCACAAUCACAGCUUCAGCCUCCAGAUCGACUCCACAAGUGCGUGAACAAAAGCAUUAUGGCUCAGCAGCUAUUCUGAAUAAGCAGAUCUACAGAAAUCGAUCUGGGUUCCUCAGUGAAGUUUCACUGUUGUUUUGAAGUAUUUUGCUGCAGUUUGUGAGUGAAAGAACCUUGUAUUAUGCACUACAGCAAUCUAAAAGCCCAUCAAUCUGUGCCAAGAAUCUGAAGAAGUCGGAAAAGGCACAACUACUAAAGAUUUAGAAGUGAAGAUGCAAGAGUCAAAAAUUAGUGAAAUGAUUGCAAUCAGAACAAGCAAGCUGAAGUAGGUUUCAGAUUCAGAUAUUGGUGGUCUUAGCUGUUAUGUGGUGUUGUACAAGGUUUAUAUGGAUAUAAGUGUUGUGUACAGUUUUGUUUCAGUUGAGAUUAAUAGGAAAAUGGAAAUGCAUGUUAAUUUUGAAUUUUAGAAGGCAAGCAAUGUGAACUAUAGGCGUCUCCUGCCCCCUA
Molecule: long non-coding RNA, 1858 nt
Organism: Panicum virgatum (switchgrass)
Lineage: Eukaryota; Viridiplantae; Streptophyta; Magnoliopsida; Poales; Poaceae
Exons: 8
Source: RefSeq, a predicted model, not a curated record